This 125-nucleotide ribosomal RNA is filed under the name Chinchilla lanigera (long-tailed chinchilla). Lineage: Eukaryota; Metazoa; Chordata; Mammalia; Rodentia; Chinchillidae. The record is from RNAcentral.
GUCUAUGGCCAUACCACCCUGAACGCACCCGAUCUCAUCUGAUCUCGGAAGCUAAGCAGGGUCGGGCCUGGUUAGUACUUGGAUGGGAGAUCAUGAGGCUCUGUGAAAACAGAAAUUUAAAGUUC